RNAcentral lists this ribosomal RNA (308 nucleotides) under uncultured eukaryote. RNAcentral describes it as "partial 18S ribosomal RNA". It matches the Rfam family "Eukaryotic small subunit ribosomal RNA", at positions 1470 to 1796 of the family's 1831-position model. The record is from RNAcentral.
CCCUUAGAUGUUCUGGGCUGCACGCGCGCUACACUGAUGUGCACAACGAGUUCAUUACCUUCUUCGAGAGAAUUGGGAAAACUUUUAUGCGCAUCGUGCUGGGGAUAGAGCAUUGCAAUUCUUGCUCUUCAACGAGGAAUUCCUAGUAAGUGCAAGUCAUCAACUUGCGCUGAUUACGUCCCUGCCCUUUGUACACACCGCCCGUCGCUCCUACCGAUUGAGUAUACCGGUGAAUUGCUCGGACCCUUGCCAAUUUUAGGGAGAAGAAUCGUAAGCCAUGAUACUUAGAGGAAGGAGAAGUCGUANCA